GACGAACGCUGGCGGCGUGCUUAACACAUGCAAGUCGAACGGGAUCCAAAGGCUUUUUGUUUUUGGUGAGAGUGGCGAACGGGUGAGUAACACGUGAGUAACCUGCCCCCUUCUUUUGGAUAACCGCAUGAAAGUGUGGCUAAUACAGGAUAUUCCAGGCUGGUCGCAUGAUUGGUUUGGGAAAUGGUUUGGUCUGGUGGGGGAUGGGCUCGCGGCCUAUCGGCUUGUUGGUGGGGUGAUGGCCUACCAAGGCGGUGACGGGUAGCCGGCCUGGGAGGGUGGGAGGGCACACUGGGAAUGAGAUACGGCCCAGACUGCUACGGGAGGCAGCAGUGGGGGAUUUUGCACAAUGGGCGCAAGCCUGAUGCAGCGACGCCGCGUGAGGGAUGAAGGCCUUCGGGUUGUAAACCUCUUUCGCUGGGUUGAAAGGCCAUGCUUUGGGUGUGGUUGAUUUGAACUGGUAAAGAAGUACCGGCUAACUACGUG
This 486-nucleotide ribosomal RNA is filed under the name uncultured bacterium. Its description in RNAcentral is "partial 16S ribosomal RNA". It matches the Rfam family "Bacterial small subunit ribosomal RNA", at positions 28 to 507 of the family's 1533-position model. The record is from RNAcentral.